This 866-nucleotide ribosomal RNA is filed under the name uncultured bacterium. Its description in RNAcentral is "bacterial SSU rRNA". It matches the Rfam family "Bacterial small subunit ribosomal RNA", at positions 8 to 868 of the family's 1533-position model. The record is from RNAcentral.
AGAGUUUGAUCCUGGCUCAGAUUGAACGCUGGCGGCAGGCCUAACACAUGCAAGUCGAACGGUAACAGGAAGAAGCUUGCUUCUUUGCUGACGAGUGGCGGACGGGUGAGUAAUGUCUGGGAAACUGCCUGAUGGAGGGGGAUAACUACUGGAAACGGUAGCUAAUACCGCAUAACGUCGCAAGACCAAAGAGGGGGACCUUCGGGCCUCUUGCCAUCGGAUGUGCCCAGAUGGGAUUAGCUAGUAGGUGGGGUAACGGCUCACCUAGGCGACGAUCCCUAGCUGGUCUGAGAGGAUGACCAGCCACACUGGAACUGAGACACGGUCCAGACUCCUACGGGAGGCAGCAGUGGGGAAUAUUGCACAAUGGGCGCAAGCCUGAUGCAGCCAUGCCGCGUGUAUGAAGAAGGCCUUCGGGUUGUAAAGUACUUUCAGCGGGGAGGAAGGGAGUAAAGUUAAUACCUUUGCUCAUUGACGUUACCCGCAGAAGAAGCACCGGCUAACUCCGUGCCAGCAGCCGCGGUAAUACGGAGGGUGCAAGCGUUAAUCGGAAUUACUGGGCGUAAAGCGCACGCAGGCGGUUUGUUAAGUCAGAUGUGAAAUCCCCGGGCUCAACCUGGGAACUGCAUCUGAUACUGGCAAGCUUGAGUCUCGUAGAGGGGGGUAGAAUUCCAGGUGUAGCGGUGAAAUGCGUAGAGAUCUGGAGGAAUACCGGGUGGCGAAGCGGCCCCCUGGACGAAGACUGACGCUCAGUGCGAAAGCGUGGGGAGCAAACAGGAUAGAUACCCUGGUAGUCCACNCNGUAAACGAUGUCGACUUGGAGGUGUGCCCUUGAGCGUGNUUCCGGAGCUAACGCGUUAAGUCGA